Molecule: non-coding RNA, 72 nt
Organism: Pangasianodon gigas (Mekong giant catfish)
Lineage: Eukaryota; Metazoa; Chordata; Actinopteri; Siluriformes; Pangasiidae
Source: the annotation of a GenBank genome assembly
ACACCCACACACACACACUGACGCUCACACACCAACGCUCGCACACACACACUGACACGCACUCACUGACAC